This 1042-nucleotide ribosomal RNA is filed under the name uncultured crenarchaeote. RNAcentral describes it as "bacterial SSU rRNA". It matches the Rfam family "Archaeal small subunit ribosomal RNA", at positions 309 to 1362 of the family's 1478-position model. Lineage: Archaea; Thermoproteati; Thermoproteota. The record is from RNAcentral.
CGCGGGAUUGGGGACGGGGCGCAGCAGGCGCGAAAACUUUGCAAUACACGAAAGUGUGACAGGGCUAUCCCGAGUGCCAUCCGCUGAGGAAGGCUUUUACCCAGUUUAGAAAGCUGGGAGAAUAAGGAGAGGGCAAGCCUGGUGUCAGCCGCCGCGGUAAUACCAGCUCUCCGAGUGGUGUGGAUGUUUAUUGGGCCUAAAGCAUCCGUAGCUGGCCAAGUUAGUCCCCUGUUAAAUCCACCGAAUUAAUCGUUGGAGUGCGGGGGAUACUGCUUGGCUAGGGGACGAGAGAGGCCGACGGUAUUUUCGGGGUAGGGGUGAAAUCCUAUAAUCCCGGGAAGACCACCAGUGGCGAAGGCUGUCGGCUAGAACGCGCCCGACGGUGAGGGAUGAAAGCUGGGGGAGCGAACCGGAUUAGAUACCCGGGUAGUCCCAGCUGUAAACGAUGCAGGCUAGGUGUUUGGGCGGCCACGGGCCGCUCUAGUGCCGCAGGGAAGCUGUUAAGCCUGCCGCCUGGGGAGUACGGCCGCAAGGCUGAAACUUAAAGGAAUUGGCGGGGGAGCACCCACAAGGGGUGAAGCUUGCGGUUUAAUUGGAGUCAACGCCGGAAAUCUCACCGGGAGCGACAGCAGGUUGAAGGCCAGAUUAAAGGUCUUGCUAGACGAGCUGAGAGGAGGUGCAUGGCCGUCGCCAGUUCGUGCCGUGAGGUGUCCUGUUAAGUCAGGCAACGAUCGAGACCCGCGUCCUCUGUUGCUACCAGUCUUGAGCUGGGCACACUGAGGAGACCGCCACUGAUAAAGCGGAGGAAGGAGCGGGCCACGGCAGGUCAGUAUGCCCCGAAUCUCCCGGGCCACACGCGAGCUGCAAUGGCAGGUACAAUGAGUUCCGACCUCGAAAGGGAGAGGCAAUCUCGAAAGCCUGCCGUAGUUGGGAUCGAGGGUUGAAACCCACCUUCGUGAACAUGGAAUCCCUAGUAAUCGCGUGUCACUAGCGCGCGGUGAAUACGUCCCUGCUCCUUGCACGAAUUCGCCGAAUCACUAGU